CUGCUCAGCUGUAUAGCCAUUGCCGGCCAUGCGGCACCGGUGAUACCUAGACGCACGCACCAUCUAAAUGGCCGGCCCGCCGCCGGGCACUUGCCGGUGGUAAGGUCUUUUCUUCUUGUCUUGUUUGGAUGCAUUGUAUUUUUCCGAUCCAAGCGCUGCGGUUCAUUCGACGUCGUUGCCGUUGUUCUGCUUGCCGCUGUCGAUGAGGCAGGUCUCGACGCCGCCGGUCAUCCAGAGGAACCACGCGUAGCUGCUGCGGUGGUGGCUGCUCUCGGGCUCCUCGUCGAUGGCGCCCGUGAACAUGUCCUCCG
RNAcentral lists this long non-coding RNA (311 nucleotides) under Sorghum bicolor (sorghum). RNAcentral's name for it is "long non-coding RNA (SBIC_LNC000399)". Lineage: Eukaryota; Viridiplantae; Streptophyta; Magnoliopsida; Poales; Poaceae. The record is from RNAcentral.